This 820-nucleotide long non-coding RNA is filed under the name Lathyrus oleraceus (garden pea). RNAcentral describes it as "Pisum sativum (pea) long non-coding RNA (PSAT_LNC035172)". Lineage: Eukaryota; Viridiplantae; Streptophyta; Magnoliopsida; Fabales; Fabaceae. The record is from RNAcentral.
CGGUGGUUGGGUUGCGAAGCGGAGUUAAUUCACUGGCAUGAGGAAAAAGUCUCGCCGGAGGUUAUCGGCAGUACGGAGAAAAGUGGUGGUGACGGUUUUGCGGCGGCGAAGGUGGUUUUGUGGAGAAGACGAUGGGGGAUGGUGGUAGGUGUGUUCCAAGAAGAUAAACAGUAAGAGAGAUUUAAUGUAUUCUUUUUCUCUUCUUUUUNAGGAGGAAGAGAUUAACCUGCAUAGAUAUUUCAACAACAAAACACCAGACAACGGCAAGAGAGUUCGUCGAUUCGACGGAUGUGAUUGACUUGAGGAGCCGGAGGAGUAACAAGACGAAAACGAUCCGCCAGAUCAUGGGAACGAGAAUAAAAGAAGUGGAGAAGAGAGGGCCGGAAUGAUUUGAGUGCCGAUUCGGACGGUGGUUGGGUGUGCGAAGGGCGGCGGAGUUAAUUCACUGGCAGAGGAAAAAGAUCUCGCUGCGAGUUUAUCGGCAGUACGGAGAAAAGUGGUGGUGACGGUUUUGCGGCGGCGAAGGUGGUUUUGUGGAGAAGACGAUGGGGGAUGGUGGUAGGUGUGUUCCAAGAAGAUAAACAGUAAGAGAGAUUUAAUGUAUUCUUUUUCUCUUCUUUUUAUUUUCUUUUUACAGAGAGAAUAUGUGUGUGGUAGUGAGGUAGCGUGAGGGAGUGAGAGAGAUGAUGGAGAGUGUUUUUCUUUUUUAACCUUUUCUCCUUUUCACAUAGAGAGAGUAAAGAGUCUGUUAGUUAAAAAGUGGGAAUGGGGUGCCCUUAAUAAUGAGUGGAAGAGAGAGUAUAUGAGUGAGAAAACGUGU